RNAcentral lists this ribosomal RNA (274 nucleotides) under uncultured bacterium. RNAcentral's name for it is "partial 16S ribosomal RNA". It matches the Rfam family "Bacterial small subunit ribosomal RNA", at positions 523 to 796 of the family's 1533-position model. The record is from RNAcentral.
AUACGGAGGGGGUUAGCGUUGUUCGGAAUUACUGGGCGUAAAGCGCACGUAGGCGGACUGGAAAGUUGGGGGUGAAAUCCCGGGGCUCAACCCCGGAACUGCCUCCAAAACUUCCAAUCUAGAGAUCGAGAGAGGUGAGUGGAAUUCCAAGUGUAGAGGUGAAAUUCGUAGAUAUUUGGAGGAACACCAGUGGCGAAGGCGGCUCACUGGCUCGAUCCUGACGCUGAGGUGCGAAAGCGUGGGGAGCAAACAGGAUUAGAAACCCCAGUAGUCC